UGGGGAAUCUUGCGCAAUGGACGACAGUCUGACGCAGCGACGCCGCGUGGGGGAAGAAGGCUUUCGGGUUGUAAACCCCUUUCAGAAAGGACGAAGCCACUCAGGUGAAUAGCCGAGAGGGUGACGGUACUUUCAGAAGAAGCCCCGGCUAACUACGUGCCAGCAGCCGCGGUAAUACGUAGGGGGCAAGCGUUGUCCGGAUUUAUUGGGCGUAAAGAGCGUGUAGGCGGCCAUGUAGGUCCGUUGUGAAAACUCGAGGCUCAACCUCGAGACGCCGAUGGAAACCAUAUGGCUAGAGUCCGGAAGAGGAGAGUGGAAUUCCCGGUGUAGCGGUGAAAUGCGCAGAUAUCGGGAAGAACACCCGUGGCUAAGGCGGCUCUCUAGUACGGUACUGACGCUG
Molecule: ribosomal RNA, 400 nt
Filed under: uncultured bacterium
Lineage: Bacteria
Description: bacterial SSU rRNA
Rfam family: Bacterial small subunit ribosomal RNA
Source: RNAcentral